GGCACAAUUAAACUAUUCAGGGCUCUAAAGUCCUGAACUAAGCGAUAUGCUGGCCAGUGGUGUUGGGAGUGGGUCUGGUGUUGUUCUUGCCUACAGGGCAUAUUUUGAGAAAGGUGGGGUUGUUGGGGUGUGUGGGGUUUCCUGGGGUUUCCUGGGGUGUGGACACUCAUUCCUCCAGUGGCCAUAUUGGCCACAGUUGAAACAAGUGUUCCUAUCUAUUCCUCCUUGGUUACCCCUGCCCCUAUAACCCUGAUUUCCCUGUCUCCAUCCCCUUGCCCCUCUUUGACCACCCCUUCCACAGGCUUUAUGUGCUCCAUCCCAUCCACGCUCUCAGCCUGUGUAGGUGGACUGUGUUGCAAUCCCUGAGCAUAAUAAGCAACCUUACUUUCCUAAAUCUUUUCUUAAUUCAAAACAACCUGCAUUUUCCUUUUCUAUAACCUUGGUAAGAAAAUCUGAGCUAUCCAAAUUGGCCCAGUCUGAAAUCAAUUGUUUCACAAGCAAAGAAUACUGUGGCAACAUAUUACCAAG
This is a non-coding RNA of Pelobates cultripes (western spadefoot toad), 528 nucleotides long. Lineage: Eukaryota; Metazoa; Chordata; Amphibia; Anura; Pelobatidae. The record is from the annotation of a GenBank genome assembly.